GCCUGGGUGGCUGAGUCUUAGGUUAAGCGUCUGACUUCGGCUCAGGUCAUGAUUUCACAGUUUGUGAGUUCAAGUCCCUCCUCAGGCU
RNAcentral lists this transfer RNA (88 nucleotides) under Felis catus (domestic cat). It matches the Rfam family "tRNA". Rfam says of the family: Transfer RNA (tRNA) molecules are approximately 80 nucleotides in length. The record is from Rfam by way of RNAcentral. Lineage: Eukaryota; Metazoa; Chordata; Mammalia; Carnivora; Felidae.